Molecule: ribosomal RNA, 380 nt
Filed under: uncultured bacterium
Lineage: Bacteria
Description: bacterial SSU rRNA
Rfam family: Bacterial small subunit ribosomal RNA
Source: RNAcentral
GACGAACGCUGGCGGCGUGCUUAACACAUGCAAGUCGAGCGGUAAGGCCCUUUCGGGGGUACACGAGCGGCGAACGGGUAAGUAACACGUGGGUGACCUGCCCUCAGCUCUGGGAUAAGCCUGGGAAACCGGGUCUAAUACCGGAUAUGACUCCAUGACGCAUGUUGUGGGGUGGAAAGCCUUGUGCGGCUGAGGAUGGGCCCGCGGCCUAUCAGCUUGUUGGUGGGGUGAUGGCCACCAAGGCGACGACGGGUAGCCGGCCUGAGAGGGCGACCGGCCACACUGGGACUGAGACACGGCCCAGACUCCUACGGGAGGCAGCAGUGGGGAAUCUUGCGCAAUGGGCGAAAGCCUGACGCAGCGACGCCGCGUGAGGGACG